RNAcentral lists this ribosomal RNA (291 nucleotides) under uncultured bacterium. RNAcentral's name for it is "partial 16S ribosomal RNA". It matches the Rfam family "Bacterial small subunit ribosomal RNA", at positions 505 to 796 of the family's 1533-position model. The record is from RNAcentral.
GUGCAGCCGCCGCGGUAAUACGGAGGGUGCAAGCGUUGUCCGGAAUCACUGGGUGUAAAGGGUGUGCAGGCGGGGCAGCAAGUCGGAGGUGACAGUCCAUGGCUUAACCAUGGAAGUGCCUUCGAAACUGUUGCUCUUGAGUCUCGGAGGGGCUGUCGGAAUUCGUGGUGUAGCGGUGAGAUGCGUAGAUAUCACGAGGAACACCAGAGGCGAAAGCGGACAGCUGGACGGGUACUGACGCUCAGGCACGAAAGCGUGGGGAGCAAACAGGAUUAGAAACCCGAGUAGUCC